CCCGUCCUCGCAGAUCUCCCUCGUGUAGAUCGAGUUGCGCUUGCCGCCGCAAGGGUUGCACCCCGUGAAGUGCGUGACGAAGGGGCGCCGCCACCCCGACUGCCCGCCGCCGUCGGGGCCCGGGACGACGGCCCUCACGGCCGCGUUCCGCGCCGCCGCGUACCGCAGGUGCUCCCGCUCCGCGUGCCGCCGCCGGAGCGCGGGGUCGCCCUUCCGCUCCGCGGCCUCGUACCGCGCCGCGACGCCGUCGAGCUUGUCCACGAUCUCCGCGAAGUAGCCCUGGAAGUAGUAGUCGAUCCCGAGGUAGGUCUUCUUGCCCCAGCGCUCCCGGUUCGUGAGGAGGAGGUACGCGAGCGCCGACUGGUCGUCGGACUGGUCGUCGAACUUCUUGCUGAGCGUGUCCCUGAGCGUCUUCCCCCACCGGGCGUACUCCGGCGAGGCCGGGCCCAUGCUCGCCCACUCGUCCAUGAAGUCGAGCGACCACUGGCAGUUGCGGAUGAGGAACACGCCGGCGUUCAGCCCCACCCAGGACCUCUUCUCGUACACCUCCUCGGGCCAGCCGUACAGGACGAGGUUGUAGCGGCUGUACCUGGCGAGCGGGAGGGAGAAGUCCAUGUCGGUGAACACGGCGUCCGCGUCGACCCACCACACCCACUCCGCCUCCGGGUGCGCGAGCAUGGCCGCGCGCACGACGGGGAUCUUGGCCCAGUACGCCACCAUGGACGGCUCCAGCAGCGCGUUGUUGUACAGCAGCUCGAUCCCGUGGAGCCGGCAGUAGUCCACCUUGUUCUUGAGGAACCGCAGCAGCAGGUGGUCGCCCCCGGCCCCCUUGCACGGCUCCGGCUGCGACCCGGUGACCAUCACCACGCGCUCCGGGGCGUUCCGCCGGUCGCCGAGCCCCCGCGACCGCAGCCAUUGCGCGCGCUUGGCGUCCCACCCGGUGACGCGCCGCCCGAGGGCGUACGACAGCUCCGGGUCGUCGUAGAAUGUGCGCGGGCCGUCCGCCGGACCGGGGACAGGGAAGGCGACGAGGCCGGCGCGCCCCGGCGCGAGGACGGACGCCGGCCCCACGAACGCCAGCACGGCCGCGGCCACGCCCGUCGCGAACACGACCAAGUCGCGCGCGCGGCUUGGCCUCGCUGGCGCCACGCCCUUCUUGCUCGCCGCGGAAGCGGCGGCCUCCGACGCGGCCAUGGGACCCGAGGAGUGUGGCGUGCGUACGUGUGAGUGUGGACCGAG
This 1239-nucleotide unclassified non-coding RNA is filed under the name Zea mays. Its description in RNAcentral is "misc RNA Zm00001eb197660". Lineage: Eukaryota; Viridiplantae; Streptophyta; Magnoliopsida; Poales; Poaceae. The record is from RNAcentral.